UUGUUCACUGAGUCAACCAAUAUUUGAGGACCUAUGAUGUGCCAGAGCCUGAGCGUGGCCUUGGAGAAGGGUUUGGUUCUGUCACUCAUUGGGUUCCUCCAGAAGCAGUCUUCAAGCCAAGAAUUGAGCAUAAGUGGUUUGCUAAUACCCAGCCCCAGAAGAAGAAACCAGUAAGGGAGUAAAAGAAGCAGACUGAGGAGAGGGAAGAACCUAAGAGAGAUUGUUUAUUUACGAAGGAUAAUGCGGCCUCCUGUAUCAUCUCAGUUCCCACAGUAAAAAAUAAUCAUGCUGCUCUGUGAAAAACUGGAUGGUUGCUGAAUAUAGAAAGAGGCCUAGUGGGCUACACUUGUAACAUGUCUAUUAAAAUAAUCUAUAAAUGGCUCUUGAGGAAAAAAAGUUCUGGGCAGAGGUUCUUAACUGUUCUUAUGCCAUCGACCCCUUUGAACGUCUGGUGAAGACUGUAAUCCUUUCUGAGAAUAACACUUCUAUAUGCCUAAAAGUAAGAUUACAGGGUAACCACUUACAUUGAAACACAGCUGUUGAAAUAGUAAAAAGAAAAUUCUGAUAUAGAAAUAGAGGUGUUUAUUAAUAAGUUAAGGGAAAAAUCUAAUGUUGGUUCUAAUAACUAUCAGAAGUUGGAAAGUGAUGAGCAUAAAUGAUAUUUCAAGAUUAUCUGUUAUUGUGACAAGAAAAUGUCUAUUAUUCCUAUUAGUAGAAAUAUGGUUCUGUUAAAUAUGCUUGUGGUUCAUUGCCUACAUUCAUAAUAGAAGGAAAUGAUAAAUUCCAGUUAGAAGUUAGUGAAAAUAAAUAUGUAAUUUCUUUUCCAUUUAAGUUCACAGGCCCCUGAAUUCUAUCCUAAAGUUACUGUAAACUACCAAAGGAGUUGGUUUAUUCAGAUGUAUUCAUACAAAUAUCUCCCUUUCCAUAUCACACUGUAGAAGAUUUCAGUACUGAAGUCAAAACAACAACAACAACAACAACAAAAAUCAGAACUCUUUUCCCCUCCCGCCCCCCUUCCAGAUGCAUUGCUGACUGGGUAUGAAUGCUGCAGAAGCAGCUGCAGAGGGUUUGGAAGCUGACCCCUGAGGGGUCUGGGUGGAGCCCCUUCCCCCUCCAAGGCACAGGCCUGUAGAGAAAGGGGUCACACAUUUCUUUUGAACUUUUGAACAUCAGCCAGGGUAUGAAGGGACCUCCCUCCACUCUAGGUUAGAGCAAAGUUGAGGAGGAAAGAAUGGAACACAAACUAGGGAACAAGAGGAGAAAAAGAAUCUGGAAACUUCAGACUUGGAACGGAAUGUAAAAAAUGAUCAGUAUAAACUCCUACCUUUUACUGAAACCCUAAGGUAGCCAACCUUUGCUUGCCCACUCUUAUUAGAGACUUGUCUUUCGAAAGCUCUUUUCAUUUUGCCUGGUUCACAUGAUUAGUAGCCCCUUCUUAUAUCAAGACUCUUUUCUCGAACACUUUAGCCUGGAAUAUCUAGAUGGCUUAUUGCCACUUCCCAAAUUCUGAUAACCUCCUGCUGUUUUCUUUGUUCUUUCACUUUGGAGACUGACUUAAUAAAAAGGUCAGUAGAUAAACAGAAUACCUUCAUUUUACCAUUGCCAGUUUGGCAGUUUUCAAGAGCACUUUUAAAUUUAAAAUAAGAAUUUCCAAAGAGGAAAACUGGUCAACUGUAAAACCACUAAUUUUGUGAAUUUUCCAAGUUAGGAAAACAUACCUGGAGAUGUCUGUAAAUGAUUAAAUGUGGAAUCUGAGCUGUAUGAAACCUACAUCAAAGCCCUAAAUCAUGCCGGUUUAAUAGAAGUAGUUACCCUUUUCGUUUUUCUCCUCCGUCCACAUUUGACUAGUUUGGUAAAGGAAAUAUGCAUUUUAAACAUGUUUUCCAAUACACUCAAUUACAUAAUUAAAGUCUGGAGAAAAACAUUAAUGUGGUCAGGUGUAUUAAAUAAAGACGGAAUUCGCUUAACUAAA
Enhydra lutris kenyoni (northern sea otter) is the source of this 1972-nucleotide long non-coding RNA. RefSeq lists it as uncharacterized. The transcript has 3 exons. The record is from RefSeq and is a predicted model, not a curated record. Lineage: Eukaryota; Metazoa; Chordata; Mammalia; Carnivora; Mustelidae.